This is a long non-coding RNA of Clarias gariepinus (North African catfish), 298 nucleotides long. RefSeq lists it as uncharacterized. The transcript is spliced from 3 exons. NCBI's taxonomy places the organism in Eukaryota, Metazoa, Chordata, Actinopteri, Siluriformes, Clariidae. The record is from RefSeq and is a predicted model, not a curated record.
GAUUGUUCCACUUUUAACCUCUGACUCACCUUGACUGGAACAGAACACCAUCACCACCUCACUGAUUCACUACAACACUGUGUGUCGGUCUCCAGGCUUUCCACGUUAGUGCUUCAGACCAUAAGCCUGAUGCUCGGUGAGACGGAGAAAGGAGCUGCUCGCUUUAGCGCACUAACGUCCAAGCAGGGAAGCGUGACUGCAGACUUGCUCUUGGCUUUGGUGUGUGUGAUCCUGAGCUAAAGCCUUACAACUGCAAUUCUACAUCUCACACAGAGCUCCUGUUUAUGGUUUAUCAGGC